CUUGCGAAUCUCGGUGAAGAGCAAAGUCCAUUGUGCCGAGGUAUCUGUAUUGGAUAACCCAUAGGCUAAACACCCUCUUGGGAUACUUAGAGGAGUUGUGAGUAUUUUUACAUAGUGAUAUGUAAAAAUCGCUUGAUAAAAGUCAGGUGCCGAUGGGGGAUAGCGCAGGUAAUUCUUCUCUCAAAAGUUAAGACUGUGUCUUACCGCUCUCGUAAUAGACGCCUCCGGUGGGGGAAUAAUCCUUGUUAGGCGAUAGGCUGGCUACCGAAACAAACCAAGGAAAUGCCAACAAGAGAGUCCGCCAUGAUGUCUUGGAAACAAGACUAUAAGGUAAGGUCAACGAACAAGUAGCUCAACGGCGAAGAAUGUGAUUAAAUUAUUACCGGAAUGAAUAGUAAUAGGAAAUAUUCUGAAUGGUGAGUGAAAGUUGCGGGUAAGCAAUCCCGUCUAAGGAAAAAGGUGCAAAACCUGAGGUUCGUGGAAAACGAACUGCGGCAAGAAGUAUUGGGGUAGCUCCCUGAUGCUCAGACUUGUCGUCUUAGUGGUCGAAGAAACAGGGAAGAAUUAGUUGUAGAGCGAAGGCUCUCGUAAGAAUUUC
Molecule: small RNA, 598 nt
Filed under: bovine gut metagenome
Description: ROOL RNA
Rfam family: ROOL RNA
About the family: Firmicutes, Fusobacteria (1 example), Tenericutes (1 example). Environment (Cow rumen (57))
Source: RNAcentral